This 398-nucleotide ribosomal RNA is filed under the name uncultured bacterium. Its description in RNAcentral is "bacterial SSU rRNA". It matches the Rfam family "Bacterial small subunit ribosomal RNA", at positions 361 to 776 of the family's 1533-position model. The record is from RNAcentral.
AUCUUAGACAAUGGGGGAAACCCUGAUCUAGCCAUGCCGCGUGAGUGACGAAGGCCCUAGGGUCGUAAAGCUCUUUCGCCGGGGAAGAUAAUGACGGUACCCGGUAAAGAAGUCCCGGCUAACUCCGUGCCAGCAGCCGCGGUAAUACGGAGGGGACUAGCGUUGUUCGGAAUUACUGGGCGUAAAGCGCGCGUAGGCGGAUCAGCAAGUUAGGGGUGAAAUCCCGGGGCUCAACCCCGGAACUGCCCUUAAAACUGUUGGUCUUGAGUUCGAGAGAGGUGAGUGGAAUUCCGAGUGUAGAGGUGAAAUUCGUAGAUAUUCGGAGGAACACCAGUGGCGAAGGCGGCUCACUGGCUCGAUACUGACGCUGAGGUGCGAAAGCGUGGGGAGCAAACAGG